CUACGGGAGGCUGCAGUGAGGAAUAUUGGACAAUGGAGGCAACUCUGAUCCAGCCAUGCCGCGUGCAGGAAGACGGCCCUAUGGGUUGUAAACUGCUUUUAUACAGGAAGAAACGCCUCCUCGUGAGGGGGUUUGACGGUACUGUACGAAUAAGGAUCGGCUAACUCCGUGCCAGCAGCCGCGGUAAUACGGAGGAUCCGAGCGUUAUCAGGAAUCAUUGGGUUUAAAGGGUCCGUAGGCGGUUUAAUAAGUCAGAGGUGAAAUCCUACAGCUCAACUGUAGAAUUGCCUUUGAUACUGUUAGACUUGAGUUAUUGUGAAGUAGUUAGAAUGUGUAGUGUAGCGGUGACAUGCAUAGAUAUUACACAGAAUACCGAUUGCGAAAGCAGCUUACUAACAAUAUACUGACGCUGAGGGACGAAAGCGUGGGUAGCGAACAGGAUUAGAUACCCGUGUAGUC
This 459-nucleotide ribosomal RNA is filed under the name uncultured bacterium. RNAcentral describes it as "partial 16S ribosomal RNA". It matches the Rfam family "Bacterial small subunit ribosomal RNA", at positions 339 to 795 of the family's 1533-position model. The record is from RNAcentral.